GACGAACGCUGGCGGCGUGCCUAAUACAUGCAAGUUGAGCGCUGAAGGUUUGUACUUGUGGCAACUUGAUGAGCAGCGAACGGGUGAGUAACGCGUGUGUAAUCUGCCUUUGAUCGGGGUACAACAUUUGGAAACGAAUGCUAAUCGGGUAUACAAACUUGAACCAUAAUUUUGAAUUGUAAAAUUCGCAGUUUCAGGAUCCACACAUGAUCCCUCGUUGUAUUAGCUAGUUGGUGAGGUAAAGACUCACCAAGGGGUUGUUAGAUAGCGGACCUGACAGGGCGAUCGGCCACACUGGGACUGAGACCCGGCCCAAACGCCCAGAGGAGGCAGCAGUAGGGAAUCUUCGGCAAUGGAUGAAAGUCUGACCGAGCAGCGCGGAGUGAGUGAAGAAGGUUUUCGGAUCGUAAAACUCUGUCGGUAGAGAAGAACGUUGGUGCGAGUGGAAAGAUGAGUAAGUGACGGUAACUAGCAAGAAAGCGACGGCUAACUACGUG
Molecule: ribosomal RNA, 497 nt
Filed under: uncultured bacterium
Lineage: Bacteria
Description: partial 16S ribosomal RNA
Rfam family: Bacterial small subunit ribosomal RNA
Source: RNAcentral